AGAGUUUGAUCCUGGCUCAGAAUGAACGCUGGCGGCGUGCCUAACACAUGCAAGUCGGAUGUGCCGCAAGGUGCAUGGCAGACGGGUGAGUAACGCGUAGGGAAUCUACCUUUUUGUGGGGAAUAACGCUCCGAAAGGAGUGGUAAUACCGCAUGAGACCGUGGCCUGGGAUGGUUACGGUGAAACCUGGGGACCGCAAGGCCUGGGGCAAAGAGAGGAUCCUGCGUCUGAUUAGCUAGUUGGCGGGGUAAUGGCCCACCAAGGCGACGAUCAGUAGCCGGCCUGAGAGGGUGAUCGGCCACACUGGAACUGAGACACGGUCCAGACUCCUACGGGAGGCAGCAGUGGGGAAUUUUGCGCAAUGGACGAAAGUCUGACGCAGCAACGCCGCGUGGGUGAUGAAGGUCCUCGGACUGUAAAACCCUGUCGUCAGGGACGAAGGUUGAGGGGUUAAUAACCCUUCAGCUUGACGGUACCUGGAGAGGAAGCCCCGGCUAACUCUGUGCCAGCAGCCGCGGUAAUACAGAGGGGGCAAGCGUUAUUCGGAAUUAUUGGGCGUAAAGGGCGCGUAGGCGGUUUUUUAAGUCAGUGGUGAAAUCCUGCCGCUUAACGGUAGAAUUGCCAUUGAUACUGAAGAGCUUGAGUACAGUUGAGGUAGGCGGAAUGUGUAGUGUAGCGGUGAAAUGCUUAGAUAUUACACAGAACACCGAUUGCGAAGGCAGCUUACUAAACUGUUACUGACGCUGAUGCACGAAAGCGUGGGGAGCGAACAGGAUUAGAUACCCUGGUAGUCC
This 794-nucleotide ribosomal RNA is filed under the name uncultured bacterium. Its description in RNAcentral is "bacterial SSU rRNA". It matches the Rfam family "Bacterial small subunit ribosomal RNA", at positions 8 to 796 of the family's 1533-position model. The record is from RNAcentral.